GAUGAAGAACGUAGCGAAAUGCGAUAAGUAAUGUGAAUUGCAGAAUUCAGUGAAUCAUCGAAUCUUUGAACGCACAUUGCGCCCUCUGGUAUUCCGGGGGGCAUGCCUGUUCGAGCGUCAUUAUAACCACUCAAGCUCUCGCUUGGUAUUGGGGUUCGCGGUUCCGCGGCCCCUAAAAUCAGUGGCGGUGCCUGUCGGCUCUACGCGUAGUAAUACUCCUCGCGAUUGAGUCCGGAAGGUCUACUUGCCAGCAACCCCCAAUUUUUACAGGUUGACCUCGGAUCAGGUAGGGAUACCCGCUGAACUUAAGCAUAUCAAUAAGCGGAGGA
This 329-nucleotide unclassified non-coding RNA is filed under the name soil metagenome. Its description in RNAcentral is "partial contains 5.8S ribosomal RNA, internal transcribed spacer 2, and large subunit ribosomal RNA". The stretch from base 1 to 120 matches the Rfam family "5.8S ribosomal RNA", at positions 35 to 154 of the family's 154-position model. The record is from RNAcentral.